Molecule: RNA transcript, 2869 nt
Organism: Panicum hallii
Lineage: Eukaryota; Viridiplantae; Streptophyta; Magnoliopsida; Poales; Poaceae
Exons: 5
Source: RefSeq, a predicted model, not a curated record
ACCUUCACGGCGUCACACCCGUUUGGAGUGAGCGAACCAGGCCAUCAGACUGUCAGAGACACCAACGCUCGCCCCGCCCCCUCCUGUCCUGCCCAAGCUGACCGAUGGCGGCCGCGGCGCCGGUGUACCGGCGGGUGCUCAAGGCGGUGCAGAAGCACGUCGGCGGGGGCGCCUCCAAGCAGCACUUCCGGGACUUCGUCGCCGCCGAGUUCCGCGCCCCCGCUGGCACGGAGGCCGACGCCAGGGCGAGGCUGCGGCUCGCCGGGGACUACGCCUACCUUCUCACCAGCGUCCAUCACCACAAGGACCUGCUAUUCUCAUACAACAUUGCUGUGGACCGAUCUGAUGAAAUGAAGAAGAUAUUGAACAAAUCUGCUGCCAGUGUAGGCCUUCAGCUUCCAGAUGUCUACCAGCCUUGAAGGCUUCUGUUGUGCACCUUCUGCAGAUGCUUGGGUGGAAGUUAUAUUCGGACUAUCAAUUUCAUUAAGAUCGUCCUCGCUUGUUUCAUCGUUGCAUGCUGCGGUAGCUGUUGCAGAUGUUCCAGCACCUUCAUUUCCCUGUGCCCAAGCUGAAGGAAAAUGCACUGUUUUUUCACCCCCAAUCCUGUUCUUGUCCUCUGAGCUAUCUUCAAAGGAACCAUAGUCUAUGUUCUGAAGUACUGUUGGGAUCUGCACGCCCCCAAGAAGUACUUCUUUGUUUUCCCUGUCUAGAUCAAUCUUCUCCCUUGGGCUUGUCACAUCCAGCUCAAUGUAUGGAGUGUAGAAUCCAGCUUCAAGUGCACCCUCACCGACCCACGAAUGGAAAUUGGUCAUUGGAGGAGGUAUCUUGGUAAAGAACACUUCCGCAAAGUUUGCUGCAAUUCUCUUUCGCAAAAGGAAGUAAACUACCUGAUUAGUGCCGAUCAGAUAUAGAUGGAAUACGGUGAGGCCACCGACAAACCAAACAACAAUGGAAGUAUAUAUGAUUAGCGCAAAAGAGUAUGCUUCCUUGCGCAAGGCCAUCCACAUGGAGCCACCAUUGUCUUCCAUUUGGCUGUAGACACUCAGCCAUGCAAAAAUAAAGACGAAUAUGCACAGGAAAGUUGAUGUCGCUAUGAAAAGGAAGAAGUAGCGGUAAUUCCUCUGCAAGGAACAUGAAAACAAAUGGUUCAGGAACAGCUUAAAAUGAGAUAAAUACAAGGUGCUGUAAUGAAGACUAAGCUAGGUUUGGGCCCUUGCAGUCUCUUACUAAAGCAAAAUUCAUUCCACGGCUUACAACAGUCUCUUAAUAGUAACGAGUUUCUUACUUACAAGUCCAAUGCACUGACCAACCCAUGGGCAGUGGUGGUCAAACUUGUGGACACAGUUGUUGCAGAUGGAGCAGUGUGAGGAUCGUGGCGGGCGGUACCGCAGGCAGGUCUCGCAAAACUUCACCUUCACCGUGAAGCCAUUCACAAUGACGUCCUUGGUCCGGCGAAACCUCAUCCGUGGGGUUCUCCCAUCACUCCAGUCCAUGGAUGGUGUGUUGGAGCCAAGCAGUAAUUCAUCAGCUUCAGGUGGUGCUCUUGUGUUCCUUGGUACUAUUCCUGGGUCUCUUGCAGAUGUCAGGAAGAGGAAGACCAGGUCCUGCAUGAGGCCAAGGUGACCUGGAUUAUUUCUGCUUUAAGCUCUUGUGGAAAUUGGUAUGUUUAAUACUUUAAUCUUGAAGAACUGUUGAUCACAGAUUCAGAUAUCAAGUAGUAGCAACUUGUUGGCAGCAUGAAUACUGACCACAAUCGUGGUGAUGAUGACUAUCAACACUGCUGCUUGAUGCAUAUGCUGUUGGCCAGUACUACUAGAGUGGUGGAAUUUGGCUUUCAUCUGGUAGCAGAAGAUGAUGCUUGGGCUGAUGAUGAGGAACGUCGUGAGCAGCAGGGAUGCGGCAUCUGGUCCGAAUAUCAGCCGGCCACCGCACAGGAAUAUCUGCAGAUUGAGGAAGCAGGUUUGUCAGUAAAUUCUGCUCCAUUGGUGGCAACGUUUGAAGAACUCCCAAAUCAUCUGAAGUUUGUAGGGCAGGCAUCCAUCUGAAGUUGUACAGUUGCCUCAUGGGCGCAGGCUUUGCCUCUGAAGAACAAACUACUGGAAAAGGAGAGAAGAGGAGGAGAAUCGAGCAGUACGUUGUUCCCCUUCCAGGCUUGGUAGAGCCUCCUGGGCUUGGCCUCCGGCUGCUGCUGCUGCUGCGGUGGUUCAUCUUCGGGCUCUGGCUUCAUGAUAAUGCCCUCUGCUCGCUACUGCUGCGUGAAGUUCGGAUUCUCUCACGAGUCAUGACAUGGUGACGAGAAGGAAAUGUGUGUCUGCUUUGCUUUCAACGGAUGGCCGGAGCAGAAGCAUUGUUGUUGCCGUAGGAAGGAGUACGGAUCAUUGGCACGUUUGCUCACACGCUGUACUGCAGGCCAAUAACUGGAUUACCCUUUUUAAUUUAAGGAGUCCCCAAGGACGAGACAAGGGAUGCCCUGUGCUGUGAGCAUACAGGCAUAGGAGUUAGGCCGCUUGAUUUUGUCCUGUCCCGUCCAGCUCUCUUGUGUUUGGUUAGGUAGGUGUAACUUGGUUGACAAACGAAAUGGGACGGGCAGGGCGGCGAUGCCAGUCUUGUCCUGCCGCGAUCCCCGUUGGAAAUGGAAGCUGCUUUGCCAAUUCACACAGCCUUAUACUCCGGCAAGAGCACGCCGGCCAAAAGGUAAGAACUGAGGCAGGGCUCCGUCUGCUCUCUCUCGAGUGGCAGUUGGUAACUGUAAACUACAUGUACACUUGUUUGAUUCGCUGGAAUUAUCCUGGAAUCGUAUAGUACAAUGUUAAUUGUGCUUCCUUGUGCAACAUCAAUGAUCAUGCACAUACGUUGUGCCAUUGGUUCU